This 588-nucleotide ribosomal RNA is filed under the name uncultured bacterium. RNAcentral's name for it is "bacterial SSU rRNA". It matches the Rfam family "Bacterial small subunit ribosomal RNA", at positions 338 to 916 of the family's 1533-position model. The record is from RNAcentral.
CCUACGGGAGGCAGCAGUAGGGAAUCUUCCGCAAUGGACGAAAGUCUGACGGAGCAACGCCGCGUGAACGAUGAAGGCCUUCGGGUCGUAAAGUUCUGUUGUUAGGGAAGAACAAGUGCUAGUUAAAUAAGCUGGCACCUUGACGGUACCUAACCAGAAAGCCACGGCUAACUACGUGCCAGCAGCCGCGGUAAUACGUAGGUGGCAAGCGUUGUCCGGAAUUAUUGGGCGUAAAGCGCGCGCAGGCGGUUUCUUAAGUCUGAUGUGAAAGCCCCCGGCUCAACCGGGGAGGGUCAUUGGAAACUGGGAAACUUGAGUGCAGAAGAGGAAAGUGGAAUUCCAAGUGUAGCGGUGAAAUGCGUAGAGAUUUGGAGGAACACCAGUGGCGAAGGCGACUUUCUGGUCUGUAACUGACGCUGAGGCGCGAAAGCGUGGGGAGCAAACAGGAUUAGAUACCCUGGUAGUCCACGCCGUAAACGAUGAGUGCUAAGUGUUAGAGGGUUUCCGCCCUUUAGUGCUGAAGUUAACGCAUUAAGCACUCCGCCUGGGGAGUACGGUCGCAAGACUGAAACUCAAAGGAAUUGACGG